This 253-nucleotide ribosomal RNA is filed under the name uncultured bacterium. RNAcentral describes it as "partial 16S ribosomal RNA". It matches the Rfam family "Bacterial small subunit ribosomal RNA", at positions 524 to 776 of the family's 1533-position model. The record is from RNAcentral.
UACGGAGGGGGCUAGCGUUGUUCGGAUUUACUGGGCGUAAAGGGCGCGUAGGCGGAUUUUUAAGUCAGGGGUGAAAUCCCAAGGCUCAACCUUGGAACUGCCUUUGAUACUGGGAAGCUUGAGUCCGGGAGAGGUGAGUGGAACUGCGAGUGUAGAGGUGAAAUUCGUAGAUAUUCGCAAGAACACCAGUGGCGAAGGCGGCUCACUGGCCCGGAACUGACGCUGAGGCGCGAAAGCGUGGGGAGCAAACAGG